UGAAAACAGAUAUACUGUAUUUGUUGCCCAAAAUAUUGAAUAAACCAUUUUAAUUUCGGUGAUCUGAAAUAAUAUCGUUAAUACAAGAGAAGGUAUGCCAUUGUAUCAUUCAGGUUUGUUUAUAAUGAAGACACAGAAGACUUCGUCAACACCGACUCCAAUGAAGUGAAAUUUCGAUUACGACAGUGGGCAGAUGAGGAAGUGGAGGGGGCAGGGGGACGGUCCCCCUUAUUGAAUUGCAUAUUUGUUAAGUGCAUAGACUUUUUAAAAGUAACAGUCCAAAUGUUGGCUAACUAGCCCUUCCCCCUUUUUUAAGUGGUUUAUCAUUUUCAGACAAAAUGGGUGACGGAUCUAUGAAAUGUCGUAACAUAUGGGCAUUCGCAGCUCAAUCCAAUCUGUAGAAAUCGAGAAAUCGUUAUUAUGUGUCUUUGUAUGUUCAUGUAUAUUUCCUCUUUUAGUAUCAUAGAAAGGAAGAUGCAAAUGUGGUUCAAUGGAAUCUUUUGUGUAAUCAUAACAGCUAUGUUUGUUUACCAAUCACAGUUUCUAUGAUAUAGACAGAUGUGGCAUAUACGAUUUGGUAUACAUUGGCCUUAUGUAUUAAAGCAGAGUUCAAGAUUAAGAUAAAGCAAAAGUUAAAGGAUAUGAAAUUUUACAGAGGUACGGCCAAUUUCCCCUGUAUUUGUUGUACUACAUGUAACGUGUCCAAAUCCUAAUUAUUCAUUGGAUAAGGCACAUAUGAUUUAUAUAACAAUGCACAAUACAAGUGUACAACAUAUACAACAUAAGUGAAAAUUAAGUAUAGGCUUUAACCACAAGUCUAUUUUAUUGGAAGGCAAAAUAUACUUAGUCCAUAACCUCAAGCUGUGUACUUAAUGCUAGCCUAACGAAUGGAUACCAAGAAUAUUUUUUCAAAUUCAAACAACUCUGAACCUUUCCAAAUGCAGUGUCUAUGUAUGGAAGUAAUAUAUAAAUAUAAUACUUCCAUGGUCUAGGUAUCUAUUCAAAUCUGAGAUCCAAAUUUCCAAAAGUUUCUAAAAUAUAAAGGUCUGUAUAUAAAGGUCAUAACUUAAGUUUAUCAAUUAUUAUCAAAUAAGGAGUUUAAAACUCUCCUGCGAUUUAAAUUGCUUAUGGGUGUCCAACAGAUCAAUUUUUAAUAAAUACUAAAAAUUUGCAAAUAUCUGUAAAAAUUGAAGUCUUGUGCCAUGUUAAGAAAUUUCAAUAAUAAGAUAAUCACGUGUGCGAAAAUAUGUAAAAAAAUUACAUGUUUAAAUCUAAAAGUAUUCAUUUGACACUACAUGUAUGACUUUUCAAAUAACGGAGAACUUUUUAUAAUGGUCUUAGUAGAAAGAAAUUUAGAGGAAAUUAGCUCCACCGCUUUCCAUGUUAAAAUUAAUUUUUAUUUUUGCCCUAUUAAAGUUAAACAUGAUGAAUUUCACUCCUUCUUUCAUUGCGAAACAAAUAAACAUGUAAGAAAUGAUUACUUCUCUGAAAUUGCUUCUCAAAAUACUGACUUUAUGAGUUGCACUAACAAACAAAAACUACAAUACAUACUCAAUCAAUAAAAUUUUCAACAGGUACAAAGUUUAGGCUCGUUUUUAAAACAGUCAAUGGAACUGAGGACAGGGGACUCUUGAUUUACCGAUGGUUAAAAUUUUUGUGGUAUAUUAAUAUGUUGUAAUUUGUAUUUUGAUUUUUCACUAUAUUAUAUACUUGCAACAAUUGAUAUAUACAUAUAUAUUAUAUGUAUGAGUGUAUGUUAGUUUUUUUUUCAGUUUGUCACAAACAUGUUUAAUUUGUUUAUAUGACAAUAAAGAUUAUUAUUAUUUAUUUUAUCAA
Long non-coding RNA from Mytilus californianus (California mussel), 1836 nucleotides. RefSeq lists it as uncharacterized. The transcript is spliced from 2 exons. The record is from RefSeq and is a predicted model, not a curated record. Lineage: Eukaryota; Metazoa; Mollusca; Bivalvia; Mytilida; Mytilidae.